Molecule: long non-coding RNA, 309 nt
Organism: Rhagoletis pomonella (apple maggot)
Lineage: Eukaryota; Metazoa; Arthropoda; Insecta; Diptera; Tephritidae
Exons: 2
Source: RefSeq, a predicted model, not a curated record
UUUGAAGGAUGCCUGCUCAUCAUUAGUGAACUAACCUAUAUUUAAGCCUUCAAUAAUUUAAGAAAUGCAGGUAGUUGAUUAUACAUACAUAUGUACAUACAUACAGGCUGACCAAUUGAAUUAAAGAUUAUUUUAUACUCACGUCGUUAGAACGCUAACUCCGCCCAAAGUCUUUGGGUAACGCCUCCAUGUAUUUGUAAAACCGUAUAGUGAUACUCUUGACAUAUUUAGCGAUAACUCCCGUAUAUAUGUUUAUGUGUAUGUGUUUACGUUAGUCUUUUUUUUCUUCAAUUAAAUAUUUUUAAUUAU